RNAcentral lists this ribosomal RNA (463 nucleotides) under uncultured bacterium. RNAcentral describes it as "bacterial SSU rRNA". It matches the Rfam family "Bacterial small subunit ribosomal RNA", at positions 28 to 507 of the family's 1533-position model. The record is from RNAcentral.
GACGAACGCUGGCGGCGUGCUUAACACAUGCAAGUCGAACGGUGACGAGGAGCUUGCUCUCUGAUCAGUGGCGAACGGGUGAGUAACACGUGAGCAACCUGCCCCAGACUCUGGGAUAACAGUUGGAAACAGCUGCUAAUACCGGAUACGAGACGGAGAGGCAUCUCUACCGUCUGGAAAGUUUUCGGCUGGGAUGGACUCGCGGCCUAUCAGCUAGUUGGUGAGGUAAUGGCUCACCAAGGCGACGACGGGUAGCCGGCCUGAGAGGGCGACCGGCCACACUGGGACUGAGACACGGCCCAGACUCCUACGGGAGGCAGCAGUGGGGAAUAUUGCACAAUGGGCGAAAGCCUGAUGCAGCGACGCCGCGUGAGGGAUGACGGCCUUCGGGUUGUAAACCUCUUUCAGCAGGGAAGAAGCGAAAGUGACGGUACCUGCAGAAGAAGCACCGGCUAACUACGUG